This 250-nucleotide ribosomal RNA is filed under the name uncultured Staphylococcus sp. RNAcentral describes it as "partial 16S ribosomal RNA". It matches the Rfam family "Bacterial small subunit ribosomal RNA", at positions 90 to 334 of the family's 1533-position model. Lineage: Bacteria; Bacillati; Bacillota; Bacilli; Caryophanales; Staphylococcaceae. The record is from RNAcentral.
CGUUAGCAGCGGACGGGUGAGUAACACGUGGGUAACCUACCUAUAAGACUGGGAUAACUCCGGGAAACCGGGGCUAAUACCGGAUAACACAUGAAACCGCAUGGUUUCAUGAUGAAAGACGGUUUUGCUGUCACUUAUAGAUGGACCCGCGGCGUAUUAGCUAGUUGGUAAGGUAACGGCUUACCAAGGCAACGAUACGUAGCCGACCUGAGAGGGUGAUCGGCCACACUGGAACUGAGACACGGUCCAG